Molecule: ribosomal RNA, 448 nt
Filed under: uncultured organism
Description: partial 16S ribosomal RNA
Rfam family: Bacterial small subunit ribosomal RNA
Source: RNAcentral
GUACACUCCUACGGGAGGCAGCAGUGGGGAAUAUUGGACAAUGGGCGCAAGCCUGAUCCAGCCAUGCCGCGUGAGUGAUGAAGGCCCUAGGGUUGUAAAGCUCUUUCACCGGUGAAGAUAAUGACGGUAACCGGAGAAGAAGCCCCGGCUAACUUCGUGCCAGCAGCCGCGGUAAUACGAAGGGGGCUAGCGUUGUUCGGAUUUACUGGGCGUAAAGCGCACGUAGGCGGACUAUUAAGUCAGGGGUGAAAUCCCGGGGCUCAACCCCGGAACUGCCUUUGAUACUGGUAGUCUUGAGUUCGAGAGAGGUGAGUGGAAUUCCGAGUGUAGAGGUGAAAUUCGUAGAUAUUCGGAGGAACACCAGUGGCGAAGGCGGCUCACUGGCUCGAUACUGACGCUGAGGUGCGAAAGCGUGGGGAGCAAACAGGAUUAGAAACCCUGGUAGUCC